AAUCCCCAGAUUCCUUCCCCAUCAGAUCUACACAUUAGUCCAACCAGCUGUAAAAGGAGGAAAAGUACAGUGGAACCAGACUUAGUUUCUCUUGUGAGGUACAGUAUACAAGUUCAUUUCAAACAAAC
RNAcentral lists this small nucleolar RNA (128 nucleotides) under Echinops telfairi (small Madagascar hedgehog). RNAcentral describes it as "Small nucleolar RNA SNORA61 (ENSETEG00000025817.1)". Lineage: Eukaryota; Metazoa; Chordata; Mammalia; Afrosoricida; Tenrecidae. The record is from RNAcentral.